UUGGAGGGCAAGUCUGGUGCCAGCAGCCGCGGUAAUUCCAGCUCCAAUAGCGUAUAUUAAAGUUGUUGCAGUUAAAAAGCUCGUAGUUGAAUUUCGGGAUUGACGCAUCGGUCGUGCCUCACGGGGUAUGAACUGGUGCAGUCAAUUUCUCACCUUCUGGAGAACCGCGAUGUCCUUAAUUGGAUGCCGCGGGGAACCAGGACCUUUACUUUGAAAAAACUAGAGUGUUUAAAGCAGGCAUUUUUGCUUGAAUACAUUAGCAUGGAAUAAUAAAAUAGGACGGCAUGGUUCUAUUUUGUUGGUUUCUAGGACCACCGUAAUGAUUAAUAGGGAUAGUUGGGGGCAUUAGUAUUCAAUUGUCAGAGGUGAAAUUCUUGGAUUUAUUGAAGACUAACUACUGAGAAAGCAUUUGCCAAGGAUGUUUUCAUUAAUCAAGAACGAAAGUUAGGGGAGCGAAGACGAUCAGAUACCGUCGUAGUCUUAACCAUAAACUAUGCCGACUAGGAAUCAGACGAUGUUAAUUUUUUAAUGACUCGUUUGGCACCUUACGGGAAACCAAAGUGUUUGGGUUC
Molecule: ribosomal RNA, 572 nt
Filed under: uncultured Glomeromycotina
Lineage: Eukaryota; Fungi; Glomeromycota
Description: SSU rRNA
Rfam family: Eukaryotic small subunit ribosomal RNA
Source: RNAcentral